GUUCCCUCAUUUCAGAAAUGCCAGUAAUUGUGAAUUAAACACAGAUCAGGGAUGAGUUUGUUUAGGGAAAAUAUGCCUUUCUAAAUAGUCAGCACUAAGAAAAAUAAUCUUUUAAAGGGUAAUUUAAAUAGCAGGUUUAAAAAAUGUAAUACAUGAGCUUUCGAGAAAGAACUACUCAGUGCUUCUUUUACAAAGAAUAUAUCAUCUAUAAAAUCAAUGUAGACAAUGCAGUGUUUGAGCAGUGAUCAUGGUGGUGAAUUCACAGCAAGCUGCAGGCAGGUUAAUAUGGACUGAUUGUGAGAUUUGGUUCCUCUUGGUUCUUGCUAAUUUCUUUUCCAAAACUGCUACAUGGGCUGCAUUUUCUAUUGCAAAAGUAAAUUUGGCCAGAGAACCUGAAAUCCUAAUGAAGACAAAGUGAUACAAGUUUUGGUAGAAGGGUUGUGUGCUUUCUGGGGUCUGAAGAAAAGGAUGCUGCUUCUGGACCUUGGAAAGAUGUUUCCUGAGGAGGCAGCCGACGUGCCUGAGGGGAGGCUGAAUGCAGGAGGACUGGAAAAAAAAGGCACUCAGACUGUGACUGCACCUGGAAAAAACAACUUUAAGGAGGUGGGAAAGACUGCAGACAGUUUCCUGAAGGAGUGUGAAAAUGGCAUUUGCUGCAGAAAGUUGGAAUUGUGGAUACCCUGCAUCCUGAACCUGCUGCAGAAGAUCUGGAGUACCUGCAGGAGAGCGAAGACAGUAAAACUGCAUUCGUACUUCGUGGGAGUGAAUUACAGCAAGGACUUCUACCUGCAGCAACAACACCCAGGUUAA
Molecule: long non-coding RNA, 810 nt
Filed under: Anas platyrhynchos platyrhynchos (common mallard)
Lineage: Eukaryota; Metazoa; Chordata; Aves; Anseriformes; Anatidae
Description: lncRNA (ENSAPLG00000026627.1)
Source: RNAcentral